ACCAGCUCGCUUCCUUUUCAACCAAGCCCGUCGGCCUCUCCUCCUCCCUCGGUCAACCACGCCUCCCCUCCUUCCUCCGCGUCAACUGACGUGUCACUGCCCGUCGUUGUUCACCGACCACCAUCGCCGUCUAACACACACACUAUGCUCACGCGUGCUAAACGUGGGCUCUUCCAACCCAUUGAUCAUCUCAACCUCACAGCGUCCCACUCCACUCCCUCUCCCAUUUCCAAAACAUACCGGGGUGCUCUUCAUGAUCCCCACUGGCGUCGUGCUAUGCUUGAGGAAUUUGAUGCUCUUGUUGCUAACCGGACGUGGUCACUUGUUCCACGCCCUCCUCGUGCUCAUGUUGUUUCAGGGAAAUGGAUCUUCAAGCACAAGUUUCACUCUGACGGUAGCCUUGCUCUCUACAAGGCUCGAUGGGUUGUCCGUGGGUACUCUCAGCAGCCGGGCAUCGACUACGAUGAGACAUUCAGCCCGGUUGUCAAGCCGGCCACGAUCCGUAUCGUCCUCAGCCUCGCUGUGUCC
RNAcentral lists this ribosomal RNA (528 nucleotides) under Triticum aestivum (bread wheat). RNAcentral's name for it is "partial small subunit ribosomal RNA". The record is from RNAcentral. Lineage: Eukaryota; Viridiplantae; Streptophyta; Magnoliopsida; Poales; Poaceae.